GGAUGUGAGGGCAAUCUGGCUGUGACAUCUGUCACCCCAUUGAUCGCCAGGGUUGAUUCUGCUGAUCUGGCUGGCUAGGAGGGUGUCCCCUUCCUCCCUCACCACUCCAUGUGCAUCCCUCCAGAAGCUGCACGCUUGGUCAAAGAGGACGACCAUCCCCGAUAGAGGAGGACCAUUCUUCGGUCAAGGGUAAACAAGUAGCUGCACUCCCCUGCUAGAACCUCCAAAUAAGGUCUCAAGAAUCCCCUUAAGCCCCAUUCCAACCCAUC
RNAcentral lists this small nuclear RNA (269 nucleotides) under Castor canadensis (American beaver). Its description in RNAcentral is "7SK RNA (ENSCCNG00000028911.1)". It matches the Rfam family "7SK RNA", at positions 1 to 273 of the family's 331-position model. Rfam says of the family: 7SK was discovered as an abundant small nuclear RNA in the mid-70s but a possible function has only recently been suggested. Two independent studies have found that 7SK RNA binds the CDK9/cyclin T complex (known as elongation factor P-TEFb). P-TEFb activates transcription by phosphorylating the C-terminal domain of RNA polymerase II. The record is from RNAcentral. Lineage: Eukaryota; Metazoa; Chordata; Mammalia; Rodentia; Castoridae.